Molecule: ribosomal RNA, 914 nt
Filed under: uncultured archaeon
Lineage: Archaea
Description: bacterial SSU rRNA
Rfam family: Archaeal small subunit ribosomal RNA
Source: RNAcentral
UUCCGGUUGAUCCCGCCGGACCUGACUGCUAUCGGAUUGAUACUAAGCCAUGCGAGUCUUUGUAGUAAUACAAGGCAUACGGCUCAGUAACGCGUAGUCAACCUACCCUAUGGACAAGAAUAAUCUCGGGAAACUGAGCAUAAUUCUUGAUAGAUCAUAAUGCCUGGAAUGGUUUAUGGUUAAAAUGAUUCGUCGCCAUAGGAUGGGACUGCGGCCUAUCAGCUUGUUGGUGAGGUAAUGGCCCACCAAGGCGAUUACAGGUACGGGCUCUGAGAGGAGAAGCCCGGAGAUGGGUACUGAGACAAGGACCCAGGCCCUAUGGGGCGCAGCAGGCGAGAAAACUUUGCAAUGUGCGAAAGCACGACAAGGUUAGUCCGAGUGAUUUCUGCUAAAGAGAUCUUUUGCUAGUUAUAAAACCACUAGUGAAUAAGGGGUGGGCAAGUUCUGGUGUCAGCCGCCGCGGUAAAACCAGCACCUCAAGUGGUCAGGAUGAUUAUUGGGCCUAAAGCAUCCGUAGCCGGCUCUGUAAGUUUUCGGUUAAAUCUAUACGCUCAACGUAUGGGCUGCCGAAAAUACUGUAGAGAUAGGGAGUGGGAGAGGUAGACGGUACUCGGUAGGAAGGGGUAAAAUCCUUUGAUCUAUCGAUGACCACCUGUGGCGAAGGCGGUCUACCAGAACACGUUCGACGGUGAGGGAUGAAAGCUGGGGGAGCAAACCGGAUUAGAUACCCGGGUAGUCCCAGCUGUAAACGAUGCAGACUCGAUGAUGCAUUGGCAUAUAGCUAGUGCAGUGUCGCAGGGAAGCCGUUAAGUCUGCCGCCUGGGAAGUACGUACGCAAGUAUGAAACUUAAAGGAAUUGGCGGGGGAGCACCACAAGGGGUGAAGCCUGCGGUUCAAUUGGAUUCAACGCCGGG